Molecule: ribosomal RNA, 253 nt
Filed under: uncultured bacterium
Lineage: Bacteria
Description: partial 16S ribosomal RNA
Rfam family: Bacterial small subunit ribosomal RNA
Source: RNAcentral
UACGGGGGGGGCAAGCGUUGUUCGGAAUUACUGGGCGUAAAGGGCUCGUAGGCGGCCAACUAAGUCAGACGUGAAAUCCCUCGGCUUAACCGGGGAACUGCGUCUGAUACUGGAUGGCUUGAGAUUGGGAGAGGGAUGCGGAAUUCCUGGUGUAGCGGUGAAAUGCGCAGAUAUCAGGAGGAACACCGGUGGCGAAGGCGGAUCUCUGGGCCAUUACUGACGCUGAGGAGCGAAAGCGUGGGGAGCGAACAGG